CAUCAAUUGACUUUCCUAUUUACAAUGAUUCAACAUAAACUCUUACUCCGAUCUAAAUCUCGUAAAAAAAAUAAUAAUAAUAAUAAUAACAAUUUCUUUUUUGAUUGCCCUCAUCUCAUCCAUAAAGUCCUCUUGGACACUACAUGCAGUCAAAAUAUAAUGCUCGUCCAUUUGGGGUCACUUCGAUCUUCAGCUUUUCGAACACAACACUUUGUUUGACAUCAUCCAUUCUAAACGUCCUAAUAGCAGUCAUUUAAAUUCCUGACAUUAAAUUGAUGGCGGUACCUAGAACAUAAUGCACGUCCUCUCCGCACGACGCUUGGCUGCCAAUGUGGUGAGAGCGAGGGAAUUCUCCCCCACGGUGAACUCCAAUCGAGGUUGUGUCCAUGACCUAUGCAAAUCUCUCUUCGGAAUCCUAUUCACCAUUGUUGUCUUGUGAUCUGAUUGUGUAUCAUCCAUCACUGCGUUUCUGUUCACCGUCUUCUUGAACAUCUUGCACUGUUUCACAAAGCGGCCUGACGAUAGUAUAUUAUUCUUAUCCUGCAAUCUACCAUCAUUAUCCUCCUCCUUGUGGGAAUCAGACUUCAAGGGCUGGUUUUUGUUCUUCUUCCUGUGUCGCCUUUGGGUUGCCGCAUGCACCUUCUCACUUUCCUUUACAGAGAGCCCCGCCCUCACUCUUGCCAGAGACUCUUGCUUAACCAGUAGGUUCUCCAACUCGG
Molecule: long non-coding RNA, 719 nt
Filed under: Amborella trichopoda
Lineage: Eukaryota; Viridiplantae; Streptophyta; Magnoliopsida; Amborellales; Amborellaceae
Description: long non-coding RNA (ATRI_LNC002519)
Source: RNAcentral